GACGAACGCUGGCGGCGUGCCUAAUACAUGCAAGUCGAGCGGACUGAUUAAGAGCUUGCUCUUAUGACGUUAGCGGCGGACGGGUGAGUAACACGUGGGCAACCUGCCCUGUAGAUCGGGAUAACACCGAGAAAUCGGUGCUAAUACCGGGUAAUAUCUGAGAUCACAUGAUCUUAGGUUAAAAGAUGGCUCCGGCUAUCACUACAGGAUGGGCCCGCGGCGCAUUAGCUAGUUGGUAAGGUAAUGGCUUACCAAGGCGACGAUGCGUAGCCGACCUGAGAGGGUGAUCGGCCACACUGGGACUGAGACACGGCCCAGACUCCUACGGGAGGCAGCAGUAGGGAAUCUUCCGCAAUGGACGAAAGUCUGACGGAGCAACGCCGCGUGAGUGAUGAAGGGUUCCGGCUCGUAAAGCUCUGUUGUUAGGGAAGAAACAGUACCGAACGAACUAGGUCGGUACCUUGACGGUACCUAACCAGAAAGCCACGGCUAACUACGUG
RNAcentral lists this ribosomal RNA (500 nucleotides) under uncultured bacterium. RNAcentral's name for it is "partial 16S ribosomal RNA". It matches the Rfam family "Bacterial small subunit ribosomal RNA", at positions 28 to 507 of the family's 1533-position model. The record is from RNAcentral.